Molecule: long non-coding RNA, 3898 nt
Organism: Siniperca chuatsi (mandarin fish)
Lineage: Eukaryota; Metazoa; Chordata; Actinopteri; Centrarchiformes; Sinipercidae
Exons: 2
Source: RefSeq, a predicted model, not a curated record
UUCUCUCAUUUUUACAUUUUGACCAUAUUUGGUUUACAGCAAGGUGAGAAAUCAUAUCUGAAAUACAAUGUGACAGCAAAUUCAGCCAGUCAUUUUGAUUAUAAAUUGAAUAUUCUGGUUUAAUAUUUUUGUAGUUUUUGACAUCAUGUCUCAGUAGUAAUAAUAAUAAUUAAUAAUAACUAUUUGUAUAGCACUCUUCAAAAGCAGAGUUAUAAAGUGAUGCACAUACAUAAAACAGAGCAAACCAAAUGAAAGACAUGGAGAAGGAAAAGCGACAGUGUCAGUGAGCAACGCAAGUAUCACGGGGGCAAUUGUAGAUAUGAAUAUAGAAACAAUCAAAUGAAUAAAACUAACAAAAAGUAAAAACCAAAAUGAAAGCAUUGGAAUCAAGAAUUAAAAGCAGCUUUAUAAAACUGUGUUCUGAGGAGUGAUUUAAAAAGGGGCACGUCUGAUCUCCUCAGGCAGGGCAUUCCAAAGCCUGGGGGCUCUAAUAUAACAUCGUACUCUAUAAUUACAUUGUACUCACCAAGCUGAAAUCAUUGUAGUCACCAUCGUCUGACUAUUCACUGUAGUAGUAACAUCACCAUGUUUUCAGGUCUCAGCAAUUACUUUGGUGAGGACAUUUGUCAUAACUGAUAAAAACAGUUGCCAAAACUACAAAAUAAGAAUACAGUAGCUUACCAAAACUAACACUGCUAACUAAGCUAAAAAAAAAAAGGUUCAAAUUAAACUGAUGAUGAGGGGAACACCUUGCACUUUACGGGUCCAUACGUUAGUUAACUGCUAAUGUUAGCAAACGCUAGUGCUAAAUAAUUUGGUAACGCUUUACAGGGCCAUUAUUUUCAAUUUACUUGAAGUUUUCUGGAAAAAACUAUGUAAUUGGUAUUUUAUGUAAGGACUUGUUAUUUUAGUAAAAACUAGUUGGGUUAGGUUAAUAAGCAGCUGAUUGCCAGAAGAAUUUCCUUUUAAAACAACUGCUUCAUUAAAUCCAAGCAAAUAUUCAUUCAUUAUUCAUUUUUUAUCCAGAACUUAGUUUUUGCGGCAUAGCAGUUAAUUGGAAGCAACUGUAACUAACUAUAAUGAAUUGGAACAUUAUUUCCAUUUUAAUUAGCAUGAAAAAUGACAUAGUUCUUUCUAUAUAGUUUUUCCAGGACACCACAGACGACCCAAAAUAUAUUUUACCAAUACUAACCUCAUAGAUAAGAAUAGACCAUGUGUAAAAAGUGCUAACGUGUUUCAGUCAUUUUCAGAACAUGUCAAAUUUUUUUAUAUAUAAAACAUAGAAAUAAUUAAUUUAUCAUUUUUGGUGAUUCUGUCAUAUAUAUUUAUGGAAUUAAAGAGUGUAUAAUAUAAUACAUGUAGUCUCCUAACAGUGAUCUUUAGAUCCAGUACUAGUUGACUUUGAGCCAGCAUUAUUUAAAUUGACCAUUCCUGGUUUUAUAGCAAUGGUCUGACGCAUAUUAAAGUAACUAAAUAUUGGACUAAAGGCAACUUUGAAGCAGUAAAGAGGGUAAAAAAAAAAAGAGACAUCUGCAUGUCGACCAGAAAAUGCAUCAAGAGUUGAAGUGAAGAUUAUCAGUGUUCAUCAACAGAAAACUAUUGUGGAAUGCUGGGAAAAAACAUGGAUGUACAAAUAAAGUAUUGUUGGUGAGUGUGGGAGUGUGCGUUUCUGUGAGAAUAUGCAGGUAUGAGUUAGUAUGUGUGUCUAUAUAUGUACGUGUGUGUGUGUGUGUGUGUGUCACAUAAACAUAUCAAGUUACAGUGAACUGUGGAAAAAGACCAGAAAUGCACACACAAAGUACAAAUCUACUAAGUAUGUUAGUUUCCUGUUGAGUAUCAACACUGAGAGUCAAUUGCAACAGCUCUGUCUCUACUCAGUUCAUGUUCACUUUCAGUUCAAACCAUCGACGCAAAGAUCUGCAGCUUGUCCACACGGCUGGUGUAGACGAGGUGGAGACGAGGUGUAGGCUCAGCACCGGGCUUGUCUAACGGCUGUCACCCUUUGUCUUUAGGAGGGAACCAGACACACAUUGAGUGCUCUUUGUAAUCUACUGAUGACAUUAACAAUGGAAAUAAUUGUAUUAGCAUAUGUGUGAUUUUAAUUAGCAAAAAUCAAUGUACUGUACAUAUUCAUUCAAAUAAUUAUUCAGAAAUCUUCCAUGGACCCCCUGCAAGACUGAAAUAGACAACUAGGGGUACACAGACCCCAAACUGAGACUCAAUCCUUUAGAUUGUUUUGAUAGAGGGGCAAUACCGAAGAUAAAAAAAAUAAAUAAAAAUGGAAAUAAAAUUGUAUUUAUUUAUUUAAAAAUUUAACCUGGAACAAGGCAGUCACGAGAUGCAGGAGGAAAAAGUUCUUUGUGUGAAUGGGUGGGAAGCCAUUGAGGGAGCAUGUACUUGUCGUUGCAGUAAAGUUGGAAAGCGGGAGGGGCCGAAGCGUUCUUCUUCAUUCUGUAUUUCCAUUUAAAUGUUUUCUUUCAGCAAAAUCCUCAAUGUUGCUUAACACAGAAACACAGGACUCUCCUGGAUAAUGUAACAAUCAUAUACUGUAUUACAUUAUGGCCACCAAUUUCCAUUAUUUCAACUUUGAUAAAUCAUGAUUUCGUGUCAUUUUGGCAUGGCGGGCAGCUCUAAAUACUGCAAUACUCAUGACCCUCAGCCGCCGCUGAGAACCGUGAAUCAGAGCGGUAGUGAAUUCAAAACGCUUUGCUGUUGCAGUUGUUAACAAAACACGGCGCCAUAGUUGCUGAUUUCAACCAAGGUUGACCCCAAAGUUAAAAGUGAACUGAUUUAAACUGCAGAUUAUAAAAUCAGUUUUGUCAACAGCGUAAUCUUUAGCUUCCACCCGCUGUUGGCGGCGCACAUGUCAGAAUUUUAAGCGCGGCGUUUGAAUGUUUCUUGCUGAAAUGCACUUUGGGAGUUGUCGUUAACUUCUCCCCAUAACUUUUAUGUACACAAACUUGUACCUUCUACUAUUUUUUUUCAAAGAAUCAGAUAUUUUCUAAGGCUGUUGUUAAUCUUUUGAACUGAAGAUUGAACCAGGAAAGUUUCAUGUCGAUCAAAGCCGCAGAAAAGCUCCAGCUGUGAGACGCGUAACAUUGUCUACGGGAAAAAGUAAUCACCCAAAAUAGCUCCCCUCACUUAGCAACUCUGUAGCAACGGCAGCUCGACUGUGGAUUUGAUAUUUUUUCAUGGAGUUGACAAAGAGUAAAAUGUACAUGACAACGUUUAUCAGUCUGUCAGGUUCUAUUCUUUAAGGAUUUGGCCGGAUGGCGAAGAUUUGGAGAACGUUUAUCACUUGCUCUCUGUCAUUGUGUUCUUCUUACAUUAAGACCGUGGUGAGUCAGUUUUGAUUCCUUAUGAAGUUAUUUCUCAUUUUUCUGUUUUAGGUUUUGCUUUCCUAAUGGGGAGAUGUGUACAGAUUGUGUGUGUGUGUGUGUGUGUGUGAUGGUUGGCUAAUUAAUGUUUGAUGAGAGCUACAUCACCACUGUUUAUGUCUUCAUAUUUACAUAGUGGUUACAGUAUGUGAAGAGCUGCAGGGGCUUAUUGCUGUUUGGGUGAACCUCAAACCUCCAGCACACACAGUCAAGCUCUGCAGCCUCCUGUAGCCAAUCAGGAGCACGCGUCCGCGAGUGGGCAACAGACAGUGGUGAGGUCAAAGGUGAGAGGUCACAGAGGCAGAGGUCAGCAGCAGCAGUGCCCAGGUAGGCCACCCUGGUGUGUGUGUGUGUGUGUGUGUGUGUGUGUGUGUGUGUGUGUGUGUGUGUGUGUGUGCGUGCGCGCGUGGAGAUACUUGUAUUACUAUACUUAUUAGGACAACUUUGACUUCUAGGUUUAAAACUUGUGGAUCUUUAGAGAAGACGGAGAACAUUUUAUCUUCUUUGGUCCUUCCUGACCA